GUGCGAUGAGGUUGCAACGUAUUGAACUAUGGUGUUUCCUUGUAACUUGCACAUUGUUAUAUUACUUGACAUUUUUGUCCUAAUGACAUACCUAGUAGAUGUUUGGAUGCACAAUUUCAGUUAGCAAUAGAAAGUAAAAAUCCAUAGUCUUGAAACUAGACUUGUUCAAGAUCAAAAUGCAUACUAUGAAAGUUACUGCUAUUGAUUUACCAUUU
RNAcentral lists this long non-coding RNA (215 nucleotides) under Physcomitrium patens. RNAcentral describes it as "long non-coding RNA (PPAT_LNC002108)". The record is from RNAcentral. Lineage: Eukaryota; Viridiplantae; Streptophyta; Bryopsida; Funariales; Funariaceae.